UUUGAUUUCUCUCUCGAGGAGUCCACGCAGAGACGACUGGACCUGUCAGUGAAACACAACGUCUCCUUCAUGAGCAGAGAGAAGGAACUUAUUGGCAAGUUGCAGCUGGACCUGGACCAAAUUGACCUCAAGACUGGUGUAACACAAUGGUACGAUUUGGUACCAGAGACCAACUAGAAGAAAAGAUGCUUGAUCUCCAGUACGAUAUAACGUUGAUUGUUGCUUCUGUGAUUUGUCUGUGUUUUAUUGUUUAUUCAGCUUAUGUGCAAUUGGACCAUCACUGAAGAAAAAAAAAAUCCACAAUAGCACAGCCCAUCAGUAUUUAUGAAGACAGAUUUGUCUUGUAGCUGAUCAUCCAUAGUGUUACCUGUGCGGAGUCCAUGCUUUCAGAGAUGAAGUCUUCAGUAUCUUCCGGCUGAAUAGAUAUUUGAUAAUAAUGCAACCAUGUUGCAAAACGUACCAAGGUUAUACUGUAUAUGUGCAAAAGCACUUAAAAGUCCUCUUCAGAGUUUAGUCACAAAAGGCCUUAUGCUGUGAUCACACUGA
This 546-nucleotide long non-coding RNA is filed under the name Myripristis murdjan (pinecone soldierfish). RNAcentral describes it as "lncRNA (ENSMMDG00005000215.1)". The record is from RNAcentral. Lineage: Eukaryota; Metazoa; Chordata; Actinopteri; Holocentriformes; Holocentridae.